CAGCAGCCGCGGUAAAACUUAGGUGGCGAGCGUUGUCCGGAAUUAUUGGGCGUAAAGGGAGCGCAGGCGGACAUAUAAGUCCAUCUUAAAAGUGCGGGGCUCAACCCCGUGAGGGGAUGGAAACUGUAUGCCUUGAGUGCAGGAGAGGAAAGCGGAAUUCCCAGUGUAGCGGUGAAAUGCGUAGAUAUUGGGAAGAACACCAGUGGCGAAGGCGGCUUUCUGGACGGAAACUGACACUGAGGCUCGAAAGCCAGGGGAGCGAACGGGAUUAGAUACCCGCGUAGUCCCUGUCUCUUAUACA
Molecule: ribosomal RNA, 301 nt
Filed under: uncultured bacterium
Lineage: Bacteria
Description: partial 16S ribosomal RNA
Rfam family: Bacterial small subunit ribosomal RNA
Source: RNAcentral